AUCAACUUUCGAUGGUAGGAUAGAGGCCUACCAUGGUGGUAACGGGUAACGGGGUGUUAGGGCACGACACCGGAGAGGGAGCCUGAGAAACGGCUACCACAUCCAAGGAUGGCAGCAGGCGCGCAAAUUACCCAAUCCCGACACGGGGAGGUAGUGACAAUAAAUAACAAUACGGGGUUCUUUCGGAUUUCGUAAUUGGAAUGAGUACAAUUUAAAUCUCUUAACGAGGAACAAUUGGAGGGCAAGUCUGGUGCCAGCAGCCGCGGUAAUUCCAGCUCCAAUAGCGUAUAUUAAAGUCGUUGCAGUUAAAAAGCUCGUAGUUGAAUUUCGGGGUUAGUAGGUUGGUCAUGCCUCUGGUAUGUACUGGUCUCACUGAUUCCUCCUUCCUGAUGAGCCGUAAUGCCAUUAAUUUGGUGUUGCGAGGAAUCUGGACUGUUACUUUGAAAAAAUUAGAGUGUUUAAAGCAGGCUAACGCUUGAAUACAUUAGCAUGGAAUAAUGAAAUAGGACGUUCGAUCCUAUUUUGUUGGUUUCUAGGAUUGACGUAAUGAUUAAUAGGGAUAGUUGGGGGCAUUAGUAUUCAAUUGUCAGAGGUGAAAUUCUUGGAUUUAUUGAAGACUAACUACUGCGAAAGCAUUUGCCAAGGAUGUUUUCAUUAAUCAAGAACGAAAGUUAGGGGAUCGAAGACGAUCAGAUACCGUCGUAGUCUUAACCAUAAACUAUGCCGACUAGGAAUCGGGCGAUGUUGACAAAAUGACUCGCUCGGCACCUCAUGGGAAACCAAAGUGUUUGGGUUC
Molecule: ribosomal RNA, 796 nt
Filed under: uncultured Glomeraceae
Lineage: Eukaryota; Fungi; Glomeromycota; Glomeromycetes; Glomerales; Glomeraceae
Description: SSU rRNA
Rfam family: Eukaryotic small subunit ribosomal RNA
Source: RNAcentral